Molecule: long non-coding RNA, 341 nt
Filed under: Hordeum vulgare
Lineage: Eukaryota; Viridiplantae; Streptophyta; Magnoliopsida; Poales; Poaceae
Description: long non-coding RNA (HVUL_LNC001808)
Source: RNAcentral
GCAACAACCAGGACAAGGGCAACAAGGGUACUACCCAAGUGUAACUUCUCCACAACAGUCGGGACAAGGGCAACAAGGGUACCCAAGUACAACUUCUCCACAACAAUCGGGGCAAGGGCAACAGCUGGGACAAGGGCAACAACCAGGACAAGGGCAACAAGGGUACCCAAGUGCAACUUUUCCACAACAGCCAGGACAAUGGCAACAAGGGUCCUACCCAAGUACAACUUCUCCGCAGCAGUCAGGACAAGGGCAACAAGGGUACAACCCAAGUGGAACUUCUACGCAGCAGCCGGGACAAGUGCAACAGUUGGGACAAGGGCAACAAGGGUACUACCCAA